CCUACGGGGGGCAGCAGUGAGGAAUAUUGGUCAAUGGACGCGAGUCUGAACCAGCCAUGCCGCGUGCAGGAAGACGGCCCUAUGGGUUGUAAACUGCUUUUGUAUGGGGGUAAACGGUGCUACGCGUAUCUUUCUGCAUGUACCGUACGAAUAAGGAUCGGCUAACUCCGUGCCAGCAGCCGCGGUAAUACGGAGGAUUCAAGCGUUAUCCGGAUUUAUCGGGUUUAAAGGGUGCGUAGGCGGUCGGUUAAGUUAGAGGUGAAAUCCCGAGGCUCAACCUCGGAAUUGCCUCUGAUACUGGUCGGCUAGAGAGUAGUAGCGGUGGGCGGAAUGUAUGGUGUAGCGGUGAAAUGCUUAGAGAUCAUACAGAACACCGAUUGCGAAGGCAGCUCAC
Molecule: ribosomal RNA, 394 nt
Filed under: uncultured bacterium
Lineage: Bacteria
Description: partial 16S ribosomal RNA
Rfam family: Bacterial small subunit ribosomal RNA
Source: RNAcentral